RNAcentral lists this ribosomal RNA (485 nucleotides) under uncultured bacterium. RNAcentral describes it as "bacterial SSU rRNA". It matches the Rfam family "Bacterial small subunit ribosomal RNA", at positions 8 to 518 of the family's 1533-position model. The record is from RNAcentral.
AGAGUUUGAUUCUGGCUCAGAACGAACGCUGGCGGCAGGCUUAACACAUGCAAGUUGAACGGGAUUUGAUGGUAGCUUGCUAUCAUUAAUGAGAGUAGCGCACUGGUGAGUAACACGUGGGAACAUGCCUUUUUGGUGGGGGACAACAGUUGGAAACGACUGCUAAUACCGCAUAAGCCCGGAAGGGGAAAGAUUAAUUGCCGAAAGAUUGGCCCGCGGAAGAUUAGGUAGUUGGUGGGGUAAAGGCCUACCAAGCCGACGAUCUAUAGCUGGUCUGAGAGGACGAACAGCCACAUUGGAACUGAGACACGGUCCAGACUCCUACGGGAGGCAGCAGUGAGGAAUAUUGGGCAAUGGAGGCAACUUCCUGACCCAGCCAUGCCGCGUGAGUGAAGAAGGUUUUCGAAUUGUAAAGCUCUUUCGGGUGUGACGAUGAUGACGGUAACACCUAAAGAAGCCCCGGCAAACUUCGUGCCAGCCGCCGC